GUUCCCCUGCACAUGCUCUCUUGCCUGCUGUCAUGCAACGUGUCUUUGCUCCUCCUUCACCUUCCGCCAUGAUUGUGAGGCUUCCCCAGCCAUGUGGAAACAUAUUCGCAGAGCACCCACUAGGUGCCAGUAAAUGUAUGAGAAGUCCUGUGGAAUAAGACUGAAGUUGUCCUUGCCUUCAAGCAACUUGCAAUUGCCUAAGAACACAGUUUAAAACCACAAAACUAAGCCUUGGAAAUCACAUGCUGUCAUUUCUGCGAUCGGUCAUAACCAGUCCUGAUUCCAUGUUAGAGGAGACUACAUAAGGACACAGGUACCAGAAGCUGAUAUAAGUCUUUUGAGGUACAGCCUGGCACAAAAAGGAUGAGAUUUGUGGGCAGAAUUUUGGAAGAAUAUCUCCCGAGAGAACAUUCAGGACAGAGCCCUACAUCUCCCCGAGAAGAGGUGAAAGAGACUGCUCCUAUCUGCUUCUGCAUCAAACUUCAGGCUCAAGACCUGUCCAGAAAAAAAAAUGUCUUCUUUCAGGGAUGAACUGCUGUCCUCAUCAGACGCCUUAUUUUGUUUAGAAUUCAAGCUCACUUGACAGGUUAUUGUGAAGAUUAAAUGAAUUAAUACAUGUGAAGCAACUGUAACAACUCUUGACAUGCGGUAAGCACUGUAAAUUGUGAACCAUUUAGGAAUGCCCCAUUGGAGAUAAUUUAGGUCACUCAGAAAUUGUAAAUUUUGAAAGGUGAAAGACCGUGUUGUUCAAGUUAGGGCUGAACUGGAACUGUAAAUCUGAUGGUUGAAUAAUAAACAGAGUAAUUA
Molecule: long non-coding RNA, 807 nt
Filed under: Homo sapiens (human)
Lineage: Eukaryota; Metazoa; Chordata; Mammalia; Primates; Hominidae
Description: HSALNT0070077
Source: RNAcentral